AUAUGCGUUGUUAUACAACACAUAUUGUGUAGUCUAUAUAUCACAGCCAACAUUAGUUUUUGGGUGUUGUCAUGGUAUUAUCAUUUUUAAUAAUAGUAAGCCCCAUGCACUGUACUUUUUACAAAAGGAAAGCCUACAGUUCAAAAGCAUAGAGUAUCUAUGGCUAAAGACUACUAAAAAAGAAAUUCUAAUCAAAAAGCAAGACCAAAGUACCUAAUAGUAAUAGACCCGCCUAUGCGGUGAGUUAAGCCAAAUUAUUUUUUUCAAAUGUUCUUGUACUCUUCAAGCCAAAUUUCUCCAGGUCUUUGCAGCUCUCGAGGAACUUUGGCAAUUGCUUCGGCCCAAGAUAUUUCCCUGUACUCGAGUCCAUGUUUUUUACAAAGCUCCUUAAUGUA
This is a long non-coding RNA of Amphimedon queenslandica, 395 nucleotides long. RefSeq lists it as uncharacterized. NCBI's taxonomy places the organism in Eukaryota, Metazoa, Porifera, Demospongiae, Haplosclerida, Niphatidae. The transcript is spliced from 2 exons. The record is from RefSeq and is a predicted model, not a curated record.